AUUGAACGCUGGCGGCAGGCCUAACACAUGCAAGUCGAGCGGAUGACGGGAGCUUGCUCCUUGAUUCAGCGGCGGACGGGUGAGUAAUGCCUAGGAAUCUGCCUGGUAGUGGGGGACAACGUUUCGAAAGGAACGCUAAUACCGCAUACGUCCUACGGGAGAAAGCAGGGGACCUUCGGGCCUUGCGCUAUCAGAUGAGCCUAGGUCGGAUUAGCUAGUUGGUGGGGUAAUGGCUCACCAAGGCGACGAUCCGUAACUGGUCUGAGAGGAUGAUCAGUCACAAGGGAACUGGGACACGGUCCCGACUCCUACGGGAGGCAGCAGUGGGGAAUAUUGGACAAUGGGCGAAAGCCUGAUCCAGCCAUGCCGCGUGUGUGAAGAAGGUCUUCGGAUUGUAAAGCACUUUAAGUUGGGAGGAAGGGCAGUAAGUUAAUACCUUGCUGUUUUGACGUUACCGACAGAAUAAGCACCGGCUAACUCUGUGCCAGCAGCCGCCGUAA
RNAcentral lists this ribosomal RNA (500 nucleotides) under uncultured bacterium. RNAcentral's name for it is "partial 16S ribosomal RNA". It matches the Rfam family "Bacterial small subunit ribosomal RNA", at positions 30 to 523 of the family's 1533-position model. The record is from RNAcentral.